GAUGAACGCUGGCGGCGUGCCUAAUACAUGCAAGUCGAGCGAACAGGCGAGGAGCUUGCUCCUCUGACGUUAGCGGCGGACGGGUGAGUAACACGUGGAUAACCUACCUAUAAGACUGGGAUAACUUCGGGAAACCGGAGCUAAUACCGGAUAAUAUAUUGAACCGCAUGGUUCAAUAGUGAAAGACGGUUUUGCUGUCACUUAGAGAUGGAUCCGCGCCGCAUUAGCUAGUUGGUAAGGUAACGGCUUACCAAGGCAACGAUGCGUAGCCGACCUGAGAGGGUGAUCGGCCACACUGGAACUGAGACACGGUCCAGACUCCUACGGGAGGCAGCAGUGGGGAAUCUUCCGCAAUGGGCGAAAGCCUGACGGAGCAACGCCGCGUGAGUGAUGAAGGUCUUCGGAUCGUAAAACUCUGUUAUUAGGGAAGAACAAAUGUGUAAGUAACUAUGCACGUCUUGACGGUACCUACACAGAAAGCCACGGCUAACUACGUG
RNAcentral lists this ribosomal RNA (497 nucleotides) under uncultured bacterium. RNAcentral describes it as "partial 16S ribosomal RNA". It matches the Rfam family "Bacterial small subunit ribosomal RNA", at positions 28 to 507 of the family's 1533-position model. The record is from RNAcentral.